GGUAGCUCAGUGGUAGAGUGCUUGCCUUGUGUGCAUGAGGCCCUGGGUUCAAUUCCUCAGUACCA
This 65-nucleotide transfer RNA is filed under the name Dipodomys ordii (Ord's kangaroo rat). It matches the Rfam family "tRNA". Rfam says of the family: Transfer RNA (tRNA) molecules are approximately 80 nucleotides in length. Their secondary structure includes four short double-helical elements and three loops (D, anti-codon, and T loops). The record is from Rfam by way of RNAcentral. Lineage: Eukaryota; Metazoa; Chordata; Mammalia; Rodentia; Heteromyidae.